GACGAACGCUGGCGGCGUGCUUAACACAUGCAAGUCGAACGGAAAGGCCCUGCUUUUGUGGGGUGCUCGAGUGGCGAACGGGUGAGUAACACGUGAGUAACCUGCCCUUGACUUUGGGAUAACUUCAGGAAACUGGGGCUAAUACCGGAUAGGAGCUCCUGCUGCAUGGUGGGGGUUGGAAAGUUUCGGCGGUUGGGGAUGGACUCGCGGCUUAUCAGCUUGUUGGUGGGGUAGUGGCUUACCAAGGCUUUGACGGGUAGCCGGCCUGAGAGGGUGACCGGCCACAUCGGGACUGAGAUACGGCCCAGACUCCUACGGGAGGCAGCAGUGGGGAAUAUUGCACAAUGGGCGGAAGCCUGAUGCAGCAACGCCGCGUGCGGGAUGACGGCCUUCGGGUUGUAAACCGCUUUCGCCUGUGACGAAGCGUGAGUGGCGGUAAUGGGUAAAGAAGCACCGGCUAACUACGUGC
RNAcentral lists this ribosomal RNA (469 nucleotides) under uncultured bacterium. RNAcentral's name for it is "partial 16S ribosomal RNA". It matches the Rfam family "Bacterial small subunit ribosomal RNA", at positions 28 to 508 of the family's 1533-position model. The record is from RNAcentral.